UACGUAGGGUGCAAGCGUUGUCCGGAAUUAUUGGGCGUAAAGAGCUCGUAGGCGGUCUGUUGCGUCGGCUGUGAAAACCCGAGGCUCAACCUCGGGCCUGCAGCCGAUACGGGCAGACUAGAGUUCGGCAGGGGAGACUGGAAUUCCUGGUGUAGCGGUGAAAUGCGCAGAUAUCAGGAGGAACACCAGCGGCGAAGGCGGUGCUCUGGGCCGGAACUGACGCUGAGGAGCGAAAGCGUGGGGAGCGAACAGG
RNAcentral lists this ribosomal RNA (253 nucleotides) under uncultured bacterium. Its description in RNAcentral is "partial 16S ribosomal RNA". It matches the Rfam family "Bacterial small subunit ribosomal RNA", at positions 524 to 776 of the family's 1533-position model. The record is from RNAcentral.